AUUGAACGCUAGCGGGAUGCUUUACACAUGCCAGUCGAACGGCAGCGCGGACUUCGGUCUGGCGGCGAGUGGCGAACGGGUGAGUAAUGUAUCGGAACGUGCCCAGUAGCGGGGGAUAACUACGCGAAAGCGUAGCUAAUACCGCGUACGCCCUACGGGGGAAAGCAGGGGAUCGUAAGACCUUGCACUAUUGGAGCGGCCGAUAUCGGAUUAGCUAGUUGGUGAGGUAACGGCUCACCAAGGCGACGAUCCGUAGCUGGUUUGAGAGGACGACCAGCCACACUGGGACUGAGACACGGCCCAGACUCCUACGGGAGGCAGCAGUGGGGAAUUUUGGACAAUGGGGGCAACCCUGAUCCAGCCAUCCCGCGUGUGCGAUGAAGGCCUUCGGGUUGUAAAGCACUUUUGGCAGGAAAGAAACGUCGCGGGCUAGUACCCCGUGGAACUGACGGUACCUGCAGAAUAAGCACCGGCUAACUACGUG
This 484-nucleotide ribosomal RNA is filed under the name uncultured bacterium. RNAcentral's name for it is "partial 16S ribosomal RNA". It matches the Rfam family "Bacterial small subunit ribosomal RNA", at positions 30 to 507 of the family's 1533-position model. The record is from RNAcentral.